RNAcentral lists this long non-coding RNA (6984 nucleotides) under Triticum aestivum (bread wheat). RNAcentral describes it as "long non-coding RNA (TAES_LNC010209)". Lineage: Eukaryota; Viridiplantae; Streptophyta; Magnoliopsida; Poales; Poaceae. The record is from RNAcentral.
UCUUGCAGUGUCCUUUCCCAGUGACAGUAGGGGCAGCAAGGCACGUAUUGUAUUGUUGCCAUCGAGGAUAACAAGAUGGGGUUUUCAUCAUAUUGCAUGAGUUUAUCCCUCUACAUCAUGUCAUCUUGCUUAAGGCGUUACUCUGUUUUUAACUUAAUACUCUAGAUGCAUGCGGGAUAGCGUUCGAUGAGUGGAGUAAUAGUAGUAGAUGCAGGCAUGAGUUGGUCUACUUGUCUCGGACAUGAUGCCUAUAUAGAUAUUCUCAUAACAAUGCUCAAUUAUGUCAAUUCCUCAACAAUAAUUUGUUCACCCACCAUAGAAUACUUAUGCUCUCGAGAGAAGUCACUAGUGAAACCUAUGGCCCCCUGGUCUAUCUUUAUCAUAUUAAUCUCCUACAACUUAGUUAUUUCCUUUGCUCUUUACUUUGCCUUUAUUUUACUUUGCAUCUUUAUCAUAAAAAUACCAAAAAUAUUAUCUUAUCAUAUCUAUCAGAUUUCACUCUCGUAAGUGGCCGUGUAGGGAUUGACAACCCCUAUUCGCAUUGGUUGCGAGGAUUUAUUUGUUUUGUGCAGGUACGAGGGACUCGCGCGUAGCCUCCUACUGGAUUGAUACCUUGGUUCUCAAAAACCGAGGGAAAUACUUACGCUACUUUGCUGCAUCAUCCCUUCCUCUUCGGGGAAAACCAACGCAGUGCUCAAGAGGUAGCAAGAAGGAUUUCUAGCAUCGUUGCCGGGGAGGUCUACGCAAAAGUCAACAUACCAAGUACCCAUCACAUACCCUUAUCUCCCACAUUACAUUAUUUUCCAUUUGCCUCUCGUUUUCCUCCCCCCACUUCACCCUUGCCGUUUUAUUCGCCCUCUCUCUCUCUCUAUCCUCCCUCUCUUUCUCUAUUUGCCUCUUUUUGUCUGCUUGCUUUUUGUUUGCUUGUGUGUUAGUUUGCUUGCUUGUCACGAUGGCUCAAGAUAAUAGGAAAUUAUGUGACUUCACGAAUACCAACAACAAUGAUUUUAUUAGCACUCCAUUUGCUCCUCUUACCGAUGCUAAAUCUUGUGAAAUUAAUACUGCUUUGCUGAAUCUUGUCAUGAAAGAUCCGUUUUCCAGCCUUCCUAGUGAAGAUGCCGCUACCCAUCUAAAUAGCUUUGUUGAUUUGUGUGAUAUGCAAAAGAAGAAAGAUGUGGAUAAUGAUAUUGUUAAAUUUAAGCUAUUUCCUUUUUCACUUAGAGAUCGUGCUAAAGCUUGGUUUUCGUCUUUGCCUAAAAAUAGUAUUGAUUCAUGGAAUAAGUGCAAAGAUGCUUUUAUCUCUAAGUAUUUUCCUCCCACUAAGAUCAUCUCUCUUAGAAAAAAUAUUAUGAAUUUUAAGAAACUUGAUCAUGAACAUGUUGCACAAGCUUGGGAGAGAAUGAAACUAAUAAUACAUAAUUGCCCUACUCAUGGUUUGAAUUUGUGGAUGAUUAUACAAAAAUUUUAUGCCGGAUUGAAUUUUGUUUCUAGAAAUCUUUUAGAUUCGGCCGCGGGAGGCACUUUUAUGGAAAUCACUUUAGGAGAAGCUACUAAACUCCUAGAUAAUAUUAUGGUUAAUUAUUCUCAGUGGCAUACUGAAAGAUCUACUAAUAAAAAGGUGCAUGCGAUAGAAGAAAUUAAUGUUUUGAGUGGAAAGAUGGAUGAACUUAUGAAAUUAUUUGCUAAUAAGAGUGUUUCUUCUGAUCCUAAUGAUAUGCCCUUGUCUACUUUGAUUGAGAAUACUAAUUAAUCUAUGGAUAAGAAUUUUGUUGGUAGGAACAAUUUUGGUAACAACGCGUAUAGAGGAAAUUUUAAUCCUAGGCCUUAUCCUAGUAAUCCCUCUAAUAAUUAUGGUAAUUCCUACAACAAUUCUUAUGGAAAUUAUAAUAAGAUGCCCUCUGAUUUUGAAUCUAAUAUUAAAGAAUUUAUUACUUCGCAAAAGAAUUUUAAUGCUUUGAUUGAAGAAAAAUUGCUUAAGAUUGAUGAGUUGGCUAGGAACGUUGAUAAAAUUUCUCUUGAUGUUGAUUCUUUAAAACUUAGAUCUAUUCCACCUAAGCAUGAUAUCAAUGAGUCUCUCAAAGCCAUGAGAAUUUCCAUUGAUGAGUGCAAAGAAAGAACCGCUAGGAUGCGUGCUAAGAAAGAUGCCUUUAUAAGAGCGUGUUCUUCUAGUUUCUAUGAAAAUAAAGAUGAAGAUCUAAAAGUUAUUGAUGUGUCCCCUAUUAAAACUUUGUUUUGCAAUAUGAAUCUUGAUAAUGAUGGGACUGAAUAUGAUCCACCUUUACCUAGAAGGUGUUCCAAGAAUUCGGAAUUUUUUGAUCUUGAUGCUAAAAUUGAUAGAAGUGGGAUUGAAGAAAUUAAAACCCUAGAUGUUGCUAAACCCACUGUUAUGGAUUUCAAGGAAUUUAACUAUGAAAAUUACUCUUUGAUUGAUUGUAUUUCCUUUUUACAAUCCGUGCUAAAUUCUCCUCGUGCUUAUAGUCAAAAUAAAGCGUUUAGUAAACAUAUCGUUGAUGCCUUGAUGCAAUCUUAUGAAGAAAAACUUGAAUUGGAAGUUUCUAUCCCUAGAAAUCUUUGUGAUGAGUGGGAACCAACUAUUAAAAUUAAAAUUAAAGAUCAUGAAUGCUAUGCUUUAUGUGAUUUGGGUGCUAGUGUUUCCACGAUUCCAAAGACUUUGUGUGAUUUGUUAGGUUUCCGUGAUUUUAAUGGUUGCUCUUUAAACUUGCACCUUGCGGAUUCCACUAUUAAGAAACCUAUGGGAAGAAUUAAUGAUGUUAUUAUUGUUGCAAAUAGUAAUUAUGUGCCCGAAGAUUUUAUUGUUCUUGACAUAGAUUGCAAUCCUUCAUGUCCUAUUAUUCUUGGUAGACCUCUCCUUAGAACGAUUGGUGCAAUUAUUGAUAUGAAGGAAGGAAAUAUUAGAUUCCAAUUUGCAUUAAGGAAAGGCAUGGAACACUUUCCUAUAAAGAAAAUUAAAUUACAUUAUGGAUCUAUUAUGAGAGCCACUUAUGGAUUGUCUACCAAAGAUGGCAAUACCUAGAUCUAUUCUUGCUUGUUAUGCCUAGCUAGGGGCAUUAAACGAUAGCGCUUGUUGGGAGGCAACCCAAUUUUAUUUUUAUUCAUUGAUUUUUGCUCCUGUUUAGUAAUAAAUAAUUUAUCUAUCCACUGUUUUGGUUGUGUUUUUUGUGUUUAAUUAGUGUUUGUGCCAAGUAGAACCGUUGGGAAGACUUGGGGAAAGUCUUGUUACACUUGCUAUACAAAACAGAAACUAUAGCGCUCACGAUAACUGCUGCCAUUUUUAUUUGUAAAGUUAUAUUUAGUUAAUUAUUUUUGCAGAUGAUUAAUAGAUAAAUUCCUCACGUCCAAAAAUUUAUUUGAGAAUUUUUGGGGUUCCAGAUCUUGCUCUAGAUAUAUAUUACUACAGACUGUUCUGUUUUUGACAGAUUCUGUUUUUCGCGUGUUGUUUGCUUAUUUUGAUGAAUCUAUGGCCAGUAAAAUAGUUCAUAAACCAUAGAGAAGUUGGUAUACAGUAGGUAUAACACCAAUAUAAAUAAAUAAUGAGUUUAUUACAGUACGUUGAAGUGGUAUUUUGUUUUCUUUCGCUAACGGAGCUCACGAGAUUUUCUACUUUAAGUUUUGUGUUGUGCAGUUUUCAAGUUUUGGGUAAAGAUUUGAUGGAUUAUGGAACAAGGAGUGGCAAGAGCCUAAGAUUGGGGAUGCCCAUGGCACCCCCAAGAUAAUCUAAGGACACCUAAAAGACAAAACUUGGGGAUGCCCCUGAAGGCAUCCCCUCUUUCGUCUACUUCCAUCGGCAACUUUACUUGGAGCUAUAUUUUUAUUCGCCACAUGAUAUGUGUUUUGCUUGGAGCGUCUUGUAUGAUUUGAGUAUUUACUUUUUAGUUUAUCACAAUAAUCCUUGCUGUACACACCUUUUGAGAGAGCCAUACAUGAUUUGGAAUUUGUUAGAAUACUCUAUGUGCUUCGCUUAUAUCUUUUGAGUUAUGUAGUUUUGCUCUAGUACUUCACUUAUAUCUUUUAGAGCACGGUGGUGGAUUUGUUUUAUAGAAACUGUUGUUCUCUCAUGCUUCACUUAGAUUAUUUUGAGAGUCUUAAAUAGCAUGGUAAUUUGCUUAAAAUCCUAAUAUGCUUGGUAUAUAAGAUUAAUAAUAAACCUUUCUUAUGAGUGUGUUGAAUACUAUGAGAAGUUCGAUGCUUAAUAAUUGUUUUGAGAUAUGAAGAUGGUGAUAUUAAAGUUGUGCUAGUAGAGUAGUUGUGAAUUUGAAGAGUACUUGUGUUAAAGUUUGUGAUUCCCGUAGCAUGCAUGUAUGGUGAACCGUUAUGUGAUGAAGUCGGAGCAUGAUUUAUUUUUUGAUUGUCUUCCUUAUGAGUGGCAGUCGGGGACGAGCGAUGGUCUUUUCCUACCAAUCUAUCCCCCUAGGAGCAUGCACGUAAUACUUUGCUUUGAUAACUUGUAGAUUUUUGCAAUAAGUACAUGAGUUCUUUAUGACUAAUGUUGAGUCCAUGGAUCAUACCCUCUUUUCUCACCCUUCCACCUUUGCUAGCCUCUCUAAUACCGCGCACCUUUCGCCGGUAUCAUACACCCACCAUAUACCUUCCUCAAAACAGCCACCAUACCUACCUAUUAUGGCAUUUCCAUAGCCACUCCGAGAUAUAUUGCCAUGCAACUUUCCACCGUUCCGUUUAUUAUGACACACUCCAUCAUUGUCAUAUUGCUUAGCAUGAUCAUGUAGUCGACAUCAUAUUUGUGGCAAAGCCACCGUUCAUAAUUCUUUCAUACAUGUCACUCAUGAGUCAUUGCAUAUCCCAGUACACCGCCGGAGGCAUUCAUAUAGAGUCAUAUUUUGUUCUAAGUAUCGAGUUUUAAUUGUUGAGUUGUAAGAAAAAUAAAAGUGUGAUGAUCAUCAUUAUUAGAGCAUUGUCCCAGUGAGGAAAGGAUGAUGGAGCUAUGAUUCCCCCACAAGUCGGGAUGAGACUCCGGACUAAAAAUAAAAAAAUAAAAGAGGCCAUAAAAAAAGAGAAAAGGCCCAAAUAAAAAAUGAGAGAAAAAGAAAGAAGGGACAAUGCUACUAUCCUUUUACCACACGUGUGCUUCAAAGUAGCACCAUGAUAUUCAUGAUAGAGAGUCUCCUAUGUUGUCACUUUCAUAUAUUAGUGGGAAUUUUUCAUUAUAGAACUUGGCUUGUAUAUUCCAAUGAUGGGCUUCCUCAAAUUGCCCUAGGUCUUCAUGAGCAAGCAAGUUGGAUGCACACCCACUUAGUUUCUUUUUGAGCUUUCAUAUACUUAUGGCUCUAGUGCAUCCGUUGCAUGGAAAUCCCUACUCACUCACAUUGAUAUCUAUUGAUGGGCAUCUCCAUAGCCCGUUGAUACGCCUAGUUGAUGUGAGACUAUCUUCUCCAUUUUUGUCUUCUCCACAACCACCAUUCUAUUCCACCUAUAAGUGCUAUGUCCAUGGCUCACUCUCAUGUAUUGCGUGAAAUUGAAAAAGUUACAGAACACCAAAAGUAUGAAACAAUUGCUUGGCUUGUCAUCGGGGUUGUGCAUGAUUUAAAUAUUUUGUGUGGUGAAAAUAGAGCAUAGCCAGACUAUAUGAUUUUGUAGGGAUAACUUUCUUUGGCCAUGUUAUUUUGAGAAGACAUAAUUGCUUUGUUAGUAUGCUUGAAGUAUUAUUAUUUUUAUGUCAAUAUUAAACUUUUGUCUUGAAUCUUUCGGAUCUGAAUAUUCAUACCACAAUUAAGAAGAAUUACAUUAAAAUUAUGCCAAGUAGCACUCCGCAUCAAAAAUUCGGUUUUUAUCAUUACCUACUCGAGGACGAGCAGUAAUUAAGCUUGGGGAUGCCUGAUACGUCUCCAACGUAUCUAUAAUUUUUGAUUGCUCCAUGCUAUAUUAUCUGCUGUUUUGGAUAUUAUUGGGCUUUAUUAUCCACUUUUAUAUCAUUUUUGGGACUAACCUAUUAACCGGAGGCCCAACCCAGAAUUGUUGUUUUUUGCUUGUUUUAGGGUUUCGAAGAAAAGGAAUAUCAAACGGAGUCCAAAUGGAAUGAAACCUUCGGGAACGUGAUUUUCUCAACGAACAAGACCCAGGAGACUUGGACCCUACGUCAAGACACAAAAGAUGAGGCUACGAGGUAGGGGGCGCGCCUACCCCCACCAGGCGCGCCCUCCUCCCUCGUGGGCCCCCUGUUGCUCCACCGACGUACUCCUUCCUCCUAUAUAUACCUACGUACCCCCAAACGAUCAGAUACGGAGCCAAAAACCUAAUUCCACCACCACAACUUUCUGUAUCCAUGAGAUCCCAUCUUGGGGCCUGUCCCGGAGCUUCGUCGGAGGGGGCAUCGAUCACGGAGGGCUUCUACAUCAACACCAUAGCCCUUCCGAUGAAGUGUGAGUAGUUUACCUCAGACCUAUGGGUCCAUAGUUAUUAGCUAGUGACUUCUUCUCUCUUUUUGGAUCUCAAUACAAUGUUCUCCCCCUCUCUUGUGGAGAACUAUUCAAUGUAAUCUUCUUUUUGCGGUGUGUUUGUUGAGAUCGAUGAAUUGUGGGUUUAUGAUCAAGUCUAUCUAUGAACUAUAUUUGAAUCUUCUCUGAAUUCUUUUAUGUACAAUUGGUUAUCUUUGCAAGUCUCUUCGAAUUAUCAGUUUGGUUUGGCCUACUAGAUUGAUCUUUCUUGCAAUGGGAGAAGUGCUUAGCUUUGGGUUCAAUCUUGCGGUGUCCUUUCCCAGUGACAGUAGAGGCGGCAAGGCACAUAUUGUAUUGUUGCCAUCGAGGAUGACAAGAUGGGGUUUUCAUCAUAUUGCAUGAGUUUAUCCCUCUACAUCAUGUCAUCUUGCUUAAGGCGUUACUCUGUUUUUAACUUAAUACUCUAGAUGCAUGCUGGAUAGCGGUCGAUGAGUGGAGUAAUAGUAGUAGAUGCAGGCAGGAGUCGGUCUACUUGUCUCAGACGUGAUGCCUAUAUACAUGAUCAUACCUAGAU